UACGGAGGGGGCUAGCGUUGUCCGAAGUUACUGGGCGUAAAGCGCGCGUAGGCGGGUUGGUAAGUCCGCUGUGAAAGCCCGGAGCUUAACUCCGGAGGGUCGGUGGAUACUGCCAGUCUUGAAGGUGCUAGGGGGAGAUGGAAUUACCGGUGUAGCGGUGAAAUGCGUAGAUAUCGGUAGGAACACCAGUGGCGAAGGCGGUCUCCUGGGGCAUUCUUGACGCUGAGGCACGAAAAGCUAGGGGGAGCAAACAGG
Molecule: ribosomal RNA, 255 nt
Filed under: uncultured bacterium
Lineage: Bacteria
Description: partial 16S ribosomal RNA
Rfam family: Bacterial small subunit ribosomal RNA
Source: RNAcentral